AGAAAAUCAUGUACCAGAGAGACCUCCUCCCCAGCUGCUGUUUGGUUGCACGGCGCUAAUGAGCCAGGUUCCAGUUGGCCUGGAGUCUGGGAGUUAACAGGAAAAGUCACUCUGUGGAGGGAAAUCAAGGUCAAAGUUCAGAUGUUUGCCAAGGCCAGAGACCAGGAUUGCCCUGAGGAGAGAAAAGACCUGAACAGAAGCCUGUCUGCUCCCAGGCACUCUGUCCCUUGGCCAACUACCCUAGAGACAGGUCCUGAAGCGGGUCACCGCCCACAGAAGCAUCCGCAGCACUCAGCUGGGCCUACGCACGACCACGAGUGAGUCACAAGUGAAAGAUGGAAGCGUCUCCCCCGGCUGCGGGCCCUGGGUCCCCAAACCACAUCUCUGUUUUCAUAUAUGUGUUGGGAUGAUUCAGCGGAAACUUCUGGUCAAACGGAUCACCAUAGCAACUUUCAGUAGACAUCCAGCAUGCAAAUGAGACGGUGGAAAAGGCCGCUUUCUCCAAAGCCCCAGACCGUCCUCCUCGGAACCUGCCGGGGAUUGAAUUCUAGACCCUUUGAAGGUUUCACUCAGAGUCUGUGUCAAGGCUGGUCGGCACCUGGCUAGGUCUGCUGAUGUCUUCAGAUGCUGAGUGAUCUCCACCAGCGAAUGUUCCAGAAGCUUCUGCGGACCCCUUGAGGAUGGGGCUCCUGUGUAGAAUACGGCCCCUUGGCUGCGGUGAGCUCUGCCUUCAUACUCGGCGCCUGACUGCCCACCCAUCCUCACCAUCCGGCCCAGGCAUUGAAUGUCCUGACGGAAGAUGAGAAAUAGUCUCAGUCGUGCCUCCUCUUAAACCCCUCCCCGCAGAGUUACCCUCUGCAGAUGAACACGCAGAGCCAGUUUUCUCACUGUGCCUUUUUCAUUAAUAAAGUAUAUGAUCCAGGGACUUGCCUGGUGGCCCAGUGCCUAAGACUCUGCGCUCCCAACGCAGGGGGCCCCGGGUUCGGUUCCUGCUCGGGGAGCCAGAUCCCGCGUGCCGAGACUAAGAGGUCACACACCGC
Bos taurus (domestic cattle) is the source of this 1040-nucleotide long non-coding RNA. NCBI's taxonomy places the organism in Eukaryota, Metazoa, Chordata, Mammalia, Artiodactyla, Bovidae. The record is from Ensembl.